This 484-nucleotide ribosomal RNA is filed under the name uncultured bacterium. RNAcentral's name for it is "partial 16S ribosomal RNA". It matches the Rfam family "Bacterial small subunit ribosomal RNA", at positions 28 to 523 of the family's 1533-position model. The record is from RNAcentral.
GACGAACGCUGGCGGUGUGCUUAACACAUGCAAGUCGAACGAUGAACCCGGAGCUUGCUCCGGUGGAUUAGUGGCGAACGGGUGAGUAACACGUGAGUAACCUGCCCUUGACUCUGGGAUAACUGCGGGAAACUGUAGCUAAUACCGGAUACGACCCUCGGCGGCAUCGCCAGGGGGUGGAAAGAAUUUCGGUCUAGGAUGGACUCGCGGCCUAUCAGCUAGUUGGUGAGGUAACGGCUCACCAAGGCGACGACGGGUAGCCGGCCUGAGCGGGUGACCGGCCACACGGGGACUGAGAGACGGACCAGACUCCUACGGGAGGCAGCAGUGGGGAAUAUUGCACAAUGGGCGCAAGCCUGAUGCAGCAACGCCGCGUGAGGGAUGACGGCCUACGGGGUGUAAAACUCUUUUAGUAGGGAAGAAGCGAAAGUGAAGGUACCUGCAGAAAAAGCACCGGCUAACUACGUGCCAGCAGCCGCAGUAA